This 396-nucleotide ribosomal RNA is filed under the name uncultured bacterium. RNAcentral describes it as "partial 16S ribosomal RNA". It matches the Rfam family "Bacterial small subunit ribosomal RNA", at positions 523 to 918 of the family's 1533-position model. The record is from RNAcentral.
AUACGAAGGGUGCAAGCGUUAAUCGGAAUUACUGGGCGUAAAGCGCGCGUAGGUGGUUUUGUAAGUUGGAGGUGAAAGCCCCGGGAUCAACCUGGGAAUUGCCUCCAAAACUGCAUGACUAGAGUACGGUAGAGGGUAGUGGAAUUUCCUGUGUAGCGGUGAAAUGAGUAGAUAUAGGAAGAAACACCAGUGGCGAAGGGGACUCCCUGGACGAAAACGGACACUGAGAGACGAAAGGUGGGGGAGCAACCAGUAUUAAAUCCCCGGGUUAGCCACGCCGUAAACGAUGUCAACUAGCCGUUGGGAUCCUUGAGAUCGUAGUGGCGCAGCUAUCGCAUUAAGUUGACCGCCUGGGGAGUACGGCGGCAAGGUUAAAACUCAAAUGAAUUGACGGGG